GAUGAACGCUGGCGGCGUGCCUAAUACAUGCAAGUAGAACGCUGAAGGAGGAGCUUGCUCUUCUGGAUGAGUUGCGAACGGGUGAGUAACGCGUAGGUAACCUGCCUGGUAGCGGGGGAUAACUAUUGGAAACGAUAGCUAAUACCGCAUGACAACAGUUAUUGCAUGAUAACUGUUUAAAAGGGGCAACUGCUCCACUACCAGAUGGACCUGCGUUGUAUUAGCUAGUUGGUGAGGUAACGGCUCACCAAGGCGACGAUACAUAGCCGGCCUGAGAGGGUGAUCGGCCAAACUGGGACUGAGACACGGCCCAGACUCCUACGGGAGGCAGCAGUAGGGAAUCUUCGGCAAUGGACGGAAGUCUGACCGAGCAACGCCGCGUGAGUGAAGAAGGUUUUCGGAUCGUAAAGCUCUGUUGUAAGAGAAGAACGAGUGUGAGAGUGGAAAGUUCACACUGUGACGGUAUCUUACCAGAAAGGGACGGCUAACUACGUG
Molecule: ribosomal RNA, 495 nt
Filed under: uncultured bacterium
Lineage: Bacteria
Description: partial 16S ribosomal RNA
Rfam family: Bacterial small subunit ribosomal RNA
Source: RNAcentral